Molecule: ribosomal RNA, 427 nt
Filed under: uncultured bacterium
Lineage: Bacteria
Description: bacterial SSU rRNA
Rfam family: Bacterial small subunit ribosomal RNA
Source: RNAcentral
UGGGGAAUCUUCCGCAAUGGGCGAAAGCCUGACGGAGCAACGCCGCGUGAGCGAAGAAGGCCUUCGGGUUGUAAAGCUCUGUGAUAUUGGACGAAUGUUCUUCCUGCAAAUAGUGGGAAGAAAUGACGGUACAGUAAGAGGAAGCCCCGGCUAACUACGUGCCAGCAGCCGCGGUAAUACGUAGGGGGCAAACGUUGUCCGGAAUAACUGGGCGUAAAGGGCGAGUAGGUGGUCUGUCAAGUCAGAAGUGAAAACUGCGGGCUCAACCCGGAGAUUGCUUUUCGAAACUGGCAGACUUGAGUGCAGGAGGGGGAAGCGGAAUUCCUAGUGUAGCGGUGAAAUGCGUAGAUAUUAGGAGGAACACCAGUGGCGAAGGCGGCUUCCUGGCCUGUAACUGACGCUGGGGCGCGAAAGCGUGGGUAGCAAA